RNAcentral lists this unclassified non-coding RNA (349 nucleotides) under soil metagenome. RNAcentral's name for it is "partial contains 5.8S ribosomal RNA, internal transcribed spacer 2, and large subunit ribosomal RNA". The stretch from base 3 to 122 matches the Rfam family "5.8S ribosomal RNA", at positions 36 to 154 of the family's 154-position model. The record is from RNAcentral.
GAAUGAAGAACGUAGCGAAAUGCGAUAAGUAAUGCGAAUUGCAGAAUUUCCGUGAGUCAUCGAAUCUUUGAACGCACAUUGCGCCCACUGGUAUUCCGGUGGGCAUGCCUGUUCGAGCGUCAUUAUCUUCCCUCAAACCCCCCGGGUUUGGUGUUGGACCUCACGUUGUGUGAACAACUGGUCUCAAAGACAAUGACGGCGUCCGUAGGACCCUCGGUGCAACGAGCUUUUAGGAGCACGCGUCGAGUUUCAAGGACCUUACGGCCCGGUCUCUUUACCCCUUUUACAAGGUUGACCUCGGAUCAGGUAGGAAUACCCGCUGAACUUAAGCAUAUCAAUAAGCGGAGGA